This 678-nucleotide ribosomal RNA is filed under the name uncultured Bacteroidales bacterium. RNAcentral's name for it is "bacterial SSU rRNA". It matches the Rfam family "Bacterial small subunit ribosomal RNA", at positions 58 to 725 of the family's 1533-position model. Lineage: Bacteria; Pseudomonadati; Bacteroidota; Bacteroidia; Bacteroidales. The record is from RNAcentral.
CAAGUCGAGGGGCAGCAUGGUCUUAGCUUGCUAAGGCCGAUGGCGACCGGCGCACGGGUGAGUAACACGUAUCCAACCUGCCGUCUACUCUUGGACAGCCUUCUGAAAGGAAGAUUAAUACAAGAUGGCAUCAUGAGUCCACAUGUUCACAUGAUUAAAGGUAUUCCGGUAGACGAUGGGGAUGCGUUCCAUUAGAUAGUAGGCGGGGUAACGGCCCACCUAGUCUUCGAUGGAUAGGGGUUCUGAGAGGAAGGUCCCCCACAUUGGAACUGAGACACGGUCCAAACUCCUACGGGAGGCAGCAGUGAGGAAUAUUGGUCAAUGGGCGAGAGCCUGAACCAGCCAAGUAGCGUGAAGGAUGACGGCCCUAUGGGUUGUAAACUUCUUUUAUAUGGGAAUAAAGUUUGGUAUGUAUACCAUUUUGUAUGUACCAUAUGAAUAAGGAUCGGCUAACUCCGUGCCAGCAGCCGCGGUAAUACGGAGGAUCCGAGCGUUAUCCGGAUUUAUUGGGCUUAAAGGGAGCGUAGGUGGAUUGUUAAGUCAGUUGUGAAAGUUUGCGGCUCAACCGUAAAAUUGCAGUUGAAACUGGCAGUCUUGAGUACAGUAGAGGUGGGCGGAAUUCGUGGUGUAGCGGUGAAAUGCUUAGAUAUCACGAAGAACUCCGCUUGCGAAGGCAGC